UUCCUGUCCUGUAGUUCAAUACACUAUUCUAAGGCCAGUUGCCUAUACAGGAGCAAGUUUCUAGUACAGUCAGCUUUGGUUAUCACUACACCCUCUCUAGACAAAUGAUUUGAUUCAAGCAAAUCUACUACUACUACUACAGUAGCACCCUGCCUUAAUAAUCGCAUAGGCACCCGGGAACCUAACUCAGCAAAGAAGGAUACUCCCUAA
Molecule: ribosomal RNA, 210 nt
Filed under: Triticum aestivum (bread wheat)
Lineage: Eukaryota; Viridiplantae; Streptophyta; Magnoliopsida; Poales; Poaceae
Description: partial small subunit ribosomal RNA
Source: RNAcentral